This 485-nucleotide ribosomal RNA is filed under the name Glyphidrilus sp. 10 PJ-2018. Its description in RNAcentral is "partial small subunit ribosomal RNA". It matches the Rfam family "Bacterial large subunit ribosomal RNA", at positions 1817 to 2597 of the family's 2925-position model. Lineage: Eukaryota; Metazoa; Annelida; Clitellata; Crassiclitellata; Almidae. The record is from RNAcentral.
UGCCUCCUGAACCCACAUAGGAGGUAACUCCUGCCCAGUGAAAAACUUUAAACGGCCGCGGUAUCCUAACCGUGCUAAGGUAGCAUAAUCACUUGUCUAUUAAUUGUAGACUAGAAUGAAAGGAUAAACGAAAUAAGCACUGUCUCCGCUAGAUUACUAUAAAUUAUAAUUUAGAUGAAGAUAUCUAAAUAUAAAUGAAGGACAAGAAGACCCUAUAGAGCUUUAUCACACAAAGGGAAAAAAAUUUCCAUUUAUAGAUUCGGUUGGGGCGACCAAGGGAAAACUAUCACCCUUACUUCAAAGAUUUAUACAUCUCUUUUACGACCCUUAAUUAAGAUCGUAAAAAUAAGCUACCUUAGGGAUAACAGGCUAAUCUUAUUAAAGAGUCCUUAUCUAUAAUAAGGGUUGGCACCUCGAUGUUGGCUUAGGGUAUCUAUAUGGCGCAAAAGUCAUAGAAAGACGGUUUGUUCAACCCCCAAUUCCCU